GACGAACGCUGGCGGCGUGCUUAACACAUGCAAGUCGAACGCUGAAGCCCUUCGGGGUGGAUGAGUGGCGAACGGGUGAGUAACACGUGGGUAAUCUGCCCUGCACUCUGGGAUAAGCCUUGGAAACGGGGUCUAAUACCGGAUAGGACACAUCGCCGCAUGGUGUGUGUGUGGAAAGUUCCGGCGGUGCAGGUUGAGCCCGCGGCCUAUCAGCUUGUUGGUGGGGUGAUGGCGUACCAAGGCGAAGACGGGUAGCCGGCCUGAGAGGGUGACCGGCCACACUGGGACUGAGACACGGCCCAGACUCCGACGGGAGGCAGCAGUGGGGAAUCUUGCGCAAUGGGCGAAAGCCUGACGCAGCAACGCCGCGUGGGGGAUGACGGCCUUCGGGUUGUAAACCUCUUUCGACCGGGACGAAGGAUUCGUUUGACGGUACCGGUAGAAGAAGCACCGGCUAACUACGUGCCAGCCGCCGCCGUAA
Molecule: ribosomal RNA, 481 nt
Filed under: uncultured bacterium
Lineage: Bacteria
Description: partial 16S ribosomal RNA
Rfam family: Bacterial small subunit ribosomal RNA
Source: RNAcentral